GCUGUCCGCACAGAGCCCGACGCGGGGCUCGAACCCACCAUGACCUGAGCCGAAGUCAGAUGCUUAACCGACUGAGUCACCCAGGCACCAAAAAGAAAUUUCAUUUAAAGGCUCACAAUGUGUUAGUGUUUAGUUUUUGAUAAUAAAUAAGAGAGUUAUUAGAGAAAUCUUUUGAGAGAUUUUGGAAAAAGUAACAAUAUUUAUUCAGAGUAGCUGGGAAGUGCCAGGGCACACACACAUCGGGAGGAAUAUAUAUACGUUGUUUCUAUUCUUUGGAUCCUAAACAAUUGACUGAGGGUAUUUUGUAAUCCUUCAACUACCCGUAUACACGUUUAGCUUAUAAUAACCUGUGCUGUGUGCAUUCUCCUGGGAGAAAGGGGUCAGGGUGACAAGGUGAGUUUUAUGAUUCAAAGUCUGGCGGAUAAGGACUGUCAGCCAGAGAAGAAUUAAAAGGAAAAAUCUCCCUCAGCUCCAAAUGCAGCAUUUGAAAGCAACAUUUUAAUCAGAUCAUUUCAUAUUUUACAGAGGAGUCAUCUUUUACAGGAAAAAAAUUUUUUUUCCCAACACACGAAGGGCAAAAAAAUGAGACCCAUGGGAAAUGAUUUCUUCACAAUGCGGCUAUUUAAUUGAUCUAUUUGGAAAUCUUCUACCAUGUUGCUGCAUGCUAAUUGGAAGUCAUUUUAAAGCAGAAUCAGCUUGGAUCACAACUGAUUUAAUGCAGUGUAGCUGGCCGGCCCAACUUGGGAGGAAAGUGUGCAUGAAAACCCUGCUUUUACAAGCCCCGUGGAGAGAGCAGUUAUUUGGAUGAGGCAGAACAGCAGUCUAGAAGGCCAGUGAUGACACAGACCUUGGCGGCCUUUCAGAAGUGACAGCCACGUCUUCAGUUACACUCCUCACGCCCCCCCCGGUGUGGGGCAACAGAUCAGUGGAGCGCCCUCUGCCCACAAACCCUCCCCUCCGGAGCCUCCCCCAGCCCGGUUUCCAGGUUCAAAAUGUGCCUCCUGGAAAGAUGGAUCGAAAAACUCCCAAUUGUUUUGGCCUUUUCAAAGAGUCCCUAAGAUUCGGAUUACUUCGGGAGGAGGAUUAGAUGGGCUUCACUGAAAGAUGACGCCUUGGGACUUUGUGAGCUCAUCUCACUGUCCAAAGCUCUGGAGUUGCAGUGAUGAGUAAGAGGGAUUUUCCCUCAAAGGACUUUUGGAGGAGCAGGUGGCAGACAGUGAUACAAGCUGAUGCAGAGAAACCGGCAAAGUGAAAGAGAAGCAGUCCCAGACAGCUGGGUCUCCUGGAAGGCUUCCCAAAGGAGACAGCGUGUGAUCUGGCCUUAAAGGACGAGUGGAAUUUUCACAGGGAAGCCUGAACUUCAGGAUCUGAUGGACUGGACAGGAAAGAGACACUCCUCUGUGCUGCUGACGUGUUCUUAAGGACAGCUAAUAACUGAGCAAAGUCGGAGGUGGCCACAAGAAGGACAGCUAGUCCAGACUAGAAGAGAGAGAGUUAACCGUCCUCACACGGAGCAGCCUCUCCUUGUCAUUUGGCAUCAUCAUGGCUGUCCUGCUAAAGACAAAACACAUUUUCCAAAAGAAGGCUCUUUUGACCCCUUGGCUGCUGUUCCAAAAUGGGGAAAUAUUACCAGGAUGAAAAUUACGCAGGGCAAAUAUUCAUGAAGAAAUGUGGUCUAAUGGAAGUCACGUCUAUAAAAUAUCCAAUGCUUAGAAAUAAAUGAGAAUUCUGUCAAUCAUCUAAAUGACUCCAUAUCUGGAAUUAUACACAGUAGAUUGCCUGCUUUUUUUUUUUUUUUUAACAUUUUGUCCAGAUGUUUAUAUACGGUCUUUACAUUUUAUUAUUUGAUGUUUAUUUUAUGUUUAAUUUACAGACAGCCCUUUCUUCACCAAUCCAUCUGGUCUACUAAGAAAAACAAUCCUUUCUGGACGGGGGGAAUUUGGCAGAAAGACAGACCCAUCGAACGCCGUGGGUCUCAACUUCCUGUACCACUACUGUCUUAACCAAGAGCUUGUCAAAUCCACUCCGUGGCCACAGUUUUUCACAGUCAGAUGUUUUCAAUUUGUCUUCCAAUAUGAUGUUUACUCAAACAUUUGGCAGAUUUAUAAUUUCUCCAUUCUCCCCUGCCAC
This is a long non-coding RNA of Acinonyx jubatus (cheetah), 2130 nucleotides long. RefSeq lists it as uncharacterized. The transcript is spliced from 3 exons. The record is from RefSeq and is a predicted model, not a curated record. Lineage: Eukaryota; Metazoa; Chordata; Mammalia; Carnivora; Felidae.